CGGGUGCGCGGCGGCGGAGGCCAUGAUGGCGGCCGCUCCGCUCCGCAGCCACGCACGGACUGGCGCUGUGACGCAGCACUCGGCGGCCCCGCGCGGCGCGGCGGGAAAAAAGAGUCCGCCCGCACCGCCCCGCCCUGAGCGGCUGAGGGGACCGGCGGGCGGGACGGGCGGCGCGCCCUGCGCUGCUGCGGGCGUUACGGGGCGGCCGGCCGGCCGGAGCCGCGGAGCCGGGCGGUAUCCAGCCGCUCAGAUCCCGCGACGCUGCGGUUCGCGCUCAGUGCCUGCCCUCUUUAAGUCGUUCUGAACGGCUGGGAAGAAUCGCUCCGAGACGUGAAAUCGCGGCUCCGCGUCGACGCGAGCAGUUUGCAGCACCUGCUGAUGGUACCUGAUGUCUCCAGGAUGGUACAGUAGAGCUACAUUAGUAAAUCAGAGAAUGUCGUAGGUUGGAAGACACCUUAAAGAUAAUCAAGCUCCAACCCCCUUGCCAUGGGCUGGCAGCCAAGGGCCCCAUCCAGCCUGACUCUGAGCACCCCCAGGGAUGGAGCACCCACUGCUCUCUGGCCUCACUGCUCUCUGAGUGAAGAAUUUCUUCCUAACUUCCGUUAAACCUUUAAUGCUUUAUUUUGUAACACCAUCCACAGGAGGUAGAGCCCGUGUUGUCACCUACCCAGAAUCAUACCCAGGUACGCACUGUGGGCAACUAAAACCCAUCAGCACAGCAGUUAAUAAGUUCAUGCUUUUUGCCAGGAACCAGCAUGUUGCUGCAAAAUGAUGGCAAUCAGUAACUGCUGGCUGAAUCGUGGAUGUGAGUACAUUAAUGAGUCUAAUGUGCCCUUCAGCCUGAAGUCAUAUUUGGGAGCUCUUUCAGUUGACUAUGUGCACGUAACUACUGGCAUCAAAGUGAACACUAAAAUGUUCUUUGGUUUCAAGAGUUCAUGCAACAGGCUGAAAUCACAUAGAGUAUUUGCAACAUCAGUGCCACGCACAGGGCUGCCAGGAGGCACUGUCAGGGCCCCCACCAGCCCCAUUGCUGACCAUGGCUUUGGGGCAGUACGAGUCUCCAACUCACCUGAGCAAAGCAAAUAGCCCUGGGAUGGUGCAGCACUGUAUGGCAUCUCCCAGAUCUGUGGUAUCUGUCCUGCACUCCUUUGGUGUUCACACCAUUGCAGCACCUUGCAAUGCUGUUGCAUUUUUCCUUCUUCUGAUUGCAGGUACAGUCUCCAAAGCUGAGCAGUGAACUGCAUUGGCAGAGGAUGGGCAAAGCUGGAAUGAAGGUAACACCAGUUCUCCAAUAAACCUCAUGGGAGAAGAGCUGUAGGGUAUCCAGAAACCUCCAUCCUGGUGGGUAAGCGAACCACCUCCGUCCUGAACAUCCCCUGAGGAUUUUACAGUGCAUUCCUCGUCUCUUGCUGGUGAAGCCACUGCUGGUGUUGAGCUUUAAUGCCUUUAAGUCUGUACCACAAAAACGUCAGUGAGCCUUUCCUACCAUCUGAUCGUGUGUUGGAGAGCAGCAGUUUGGUGCAUUUUCAGAUUGGGCAUCGUGCUUAACGUCCUUUUGAUUCCAGCCUGUCUUCCAGCGUGUUCAAAACUCACACUUGCUUCUCCCAUUGAGUUGCAUCAAGAUAAAACAAGUGGAAUUUAUCAGAUCUUACCAUCACCAGACAACGCCGUGGAGGCAGCAGACAUUCAGAUGCAGAUCAGAGAGAGCGUUUCAUCUGCAUGCACGUUAUUUGACUGAAGUGAACUGGUUUGAGAACUGGCAUUAAAAUACCAACACUGGCAGUUAAUGCUCCAGCCUUUGAACAGCAGCAGGCAGCUUCAGAGGAAGGGCAGGGCUGGUGGCAGCACCACCACUGCUGUUUGCUCAUACAGCUCUGACUGCUCUCUGUACUCACCAUCCUCCAAGUAAAGACACAGGAGCCAAAUUGGCUCCAAGAAGCAGUUUCUGUUCACCCUGGCUCUGACUCAGCCCCCUCCAAGGGCCAGCAGUGCCACCUACCAGCUCUUGGAGUGGGGAAAUGAGCAACAAGUCUUGGUCUUAUCUGCACCGAGUGAUCACACCAUGCUUUUAGAAAGCAAUAUGCUUCGCAUGUGUGCUGGCACACACAUCUGCCUCAGCUCCAUCCUGGGAACAUUGCUGUCACUGAUAGCAUUUCCAUCUGGAAGUAGGAGAACUGGGAUAACAUCAAAUGGCAGAAAGUGAUAUAGAGCUUCGGGGAGGUGCCCUGAGCUCACAGCACAGCCCUGUGCUUUGGUGAGAGGCUCUUGUACCUGGUGCUGUAGCAGAAGACCUGAGCAGUUCGUUCUUUACACUGCACACCUCUCCAGAGCUGAUCCUCCACGUGCAGAUGUGCUUCUCGCAGAUUAACACCACCAACCAGUUUGUAGCUGCAGGCAUGCGAGCAAAAAGGCAAAGGGUCAAAGCUCCAGCCUGGAAUAAAUCACAGUGAGCCACUAACACGCAGUGUGAGCAGAAACGAGCAGCAGGGGAGAUGGAAAAGAACAGGCUGUGUCCUGACAGGCAGACCUCAGCAAGACAGAUUUAGCUCUCGUUCAGCCAGGAGGAUAUUUGUCACUGCAAGGACAGGCCUGCAUUAUUUUUAGUGGAUGCAUCAUGAGUCCGCAGCUUUAAAGGACAGCGAAAGAAAGAUCAGCUUGUCUGGUGAGGGCUUAUCCUGUUCUCUCAGAGCACACACAGCCCUGAGAAGCCGAGGAAUGUGUCAGUACAUACAAGACACCAUGUGCUGCUUCAAGUACCACGCCUGCUUUUAUUGCUGCUAGCUGUGACACUAGCAGUCAGCAAACCCUGACAUCACACGUGCUGUCCUUACCCUGGGCCAUGCGCACAGCAGCGUGCCUGCAGGCUGAGCCCGACGGAGCACUUCCCGAUAAAACACACUGGAGUUUGAAAAAGAUGGUCUUGCUUUCUACCGGUCCACGUGGCCCCAGCUGUGACACGGCACUCAGCCCUGCAGUCACCUUGCUGCACAGCAGGAGAGGUGAUUCCCUCCUCUUGCCGCCAGCACUGUGUGCUGCAGCCACGCAGCAGAGCGAGGCCGUGCUGCUGGGUGCUGUGAGCUCAGGGAGGCUCCGUGCCGUGCUGGGAGCCGCAGAACCACAUCCUGCACGGGGCCUGAGCAAUAUCUGAUAGACUCACUGCGCCAGCUUGCAAACGUCUCGGUGCGAUCAGUGAGCAGCUUUGCCAGGUGUUUCCCCUACAGCCAGAUACAGUCAGCGCUGAGACGCUUCAUCUCACGUAAAUCAAGCGUAUCUGUCACCACUUUGUCCAUUUGCGUAUCGGAAUUGAUGGCUCAGGAAGAGCUGCGUGCCACCAGAGCACCUCCGAGUGCUGUGCCCGUGUUAGGUCAGGAGGGCUGCUGUGCGCCCUCCUGACCUGCAGCUGCUUGCUUGCAGUGGGUGCUCCCCUUUCCGAAGGGGCAGUGCGCCACCUAGCGGGCUGGAGCCGCACUGCAGGGGGGGUGCGGUGCUGCGGAGCACGGCCAGCCGAGGGACGGGGAAUUAAAGUGCUAACAUAUGGGCAGGAUGCUUUGUUUUACUGAGAUAACCAUCAGACGUCACCUCUGAUUGAUCGCGAGGUGCUUACAAAUAAAAGGAGCUGCCAACAACAAGCUAUCUGUCCUUGCAGCGCUGAGAAAACUGACCCAAACGCAAGCAGGGUGCACAAUGGGAAUAAGGGAUAGCAAGCAAGGAGCUCCCUCCAGAACUAUUAUCCAUCAGCCCACAGUGCUCGCUAGGACAGACAGCAGUGCAGGACCCUGGGCCAGGAGGGUCUCCAUGCUCUUUCCCAGAGUUCAAGUGAAAAACACUGAAGAAUGGCUUACAGAAGACAAGCUUUAUUACUGACCUUUUACCCAGCAGGAGGCAGCACUUCGUUACAAAAAAAUAACCCAAACCUCACAAUCAAAACUGGGAACGUUUUGCUGAUUGCCUGUCUCAGCAGCUGUGCAAAGCCUAUCUGCUUUUAGCUUCAAAUGUAAACGUGUUAUCAUUAGGGCUAGAAAAAAGGCUUUUGGACUUCAUUCUGAAGCAGAACAGAACUCAUGCUGGCUCUAUGCUGCCUCAAAUGGCACCAGACUUUUGUUUCGGUGUUACAGUGUAAUCAGUGGAAGUGAUCAGCAUGGUCAAUUAACUUCUUUUAAGCCUCUUUGUGUAUAUUAUUAUGUAUAUAUAUGUAUAAAUGUAUACUUCAUGCAGCUGCUGGUCAGGGUGCCCCAAGCACAGCUCCCCAUUUCAGUACAGCCUCAGUGCCCCCAGCAGCCCCCCUCCACCCAUGGUGGGUUUUCAAAGAGCCCAGGCAGGCCAUGCAGUGGCUCUCCCCAGGUGACUGCCCAGCUUUCAACCAACCAUUCAACCAUUUCAACCAUUCCCAGCCUGGAUCUAACAGCCUUACGUUGAGGGGAGCUUUACCUGUUGGACAUUUCCAGCUUUUAAGCCCACAUUCAGGUUCAUCUUCCAGAAUACCACGUAAGAAAGAGAGCCAACAACCCCAACCUAUUGCCUGUGCUCCAGCUGCAGGUUUGUUAGCCCAGCCAGCUGCAGCUCGUUAGCCAGAUCCCUCCACUGGCUCAGGCACUCACUCCUUGUACCUACCCUGAGUCAGGCUGCUCUUGGAGAGCUGAGAAAGGCUAUUUUGCUCUGUCAUUAACUGGAAAUUUCAGGAAAGUUUUGGCAAAGUCCAUCUGGCCUCCCUGCAGUGCUUUUUUUUUUUUUUUUUUAACCAAGUCAUGAUUUGGGAUGCUGCUAUGAUUAAUGGGGCAUGCAUUGCAUUAGCUCAUGUGUCAGGGCAAAUAAGUGGUGUCCCCAGUGGGCCAUCCCUGGCCUGUCACAUCUCAGCCUGUCUGAGCAGCCUGUUAACAUUCAGCAGGCUGCUGAAACCCGCUGGUGAACAAGGGGCGUUGCUGGCACUUUGGGACUUCCCAUCAAGAUGUGUUUGUUAAUCCAAAUUGGCAGAGCCAAAACAACAGGCACACAGCUGGAUCUAUCCUAAAAUGAAUGGCUCCUGUGGGAAAUGCAUGCACCCGCAGUGCUGGCGUUCUGUGCUGCAGGCCCUUGCUGCACUGCACUGGUGUGUGGGAAUAACAUGAACAUCCAUGGCAGCUCUUCUUUCCUUCCCCUCUCCAUCCUGUAUUUCACAGAAUCACAGAUCCAAAGUUCCAGUUUGUGCCCGUUGCCCCUUGUCCUCUUGCUGGGCAGUGCUGAUAAGAGCCUGGCCCCAUCCACGUGGCUCCUGCUCUUUGUAUAUUAUAAAUACUGAGAAGACCCAUUUCUCAGCCUUCUCCUCCCCAGGCUGAACAGUGCCAGUGCUCUCAGCCUUUCCUCAUCAGGAGGUGCUCCAGGCUUCUCUGCAGCCCUCCAAUGGACUCUCUGCAGCAGUUCCCUGCCUGCCUUGAACUGGGGAGCUCAGAACUGGGCCCAGUGCCCCAGAUGUGGCCACACCAGAGCAGAGCAAAGGGGAGAAGAGCCUCCCUCACCUGCUGGCCACACUCUUUGUAAUGCACCCAGGAUACCAUUGGCCUUCUUGGCCACAAGGGCACAUAGCUGGCUCACUGUCAACCAUUGGUCAACCAGGACCCCCAGGUCCUUCUCCACAGAGCUCCUUACCAACAGCUCAGCCCCCAACCUGUACUGAGGUGUUGUUAUUCCUCCCCAGGUGUAGGACUCCACCCUUGCCCUUGUUGAAGCUCAUCAGAUUCCUCUCCACCAAACUCUCGCACAUGUCCAUGCCUUGCUGAAUGGCCAUACUGGCACAUCAGCCACCCCUGCCAUCCACAUAUCACCAGCAAACCUGCUGAGGGUGAACUCUAUCCCUUCAUCCAGGUCACUGAUGAAGAUACUGAACAAGGCUGGGCCCAGUACCACCCCCUGGGGAGCACUGCUACCUGCAGGCCGCCCAGACUCUGCUCCCUGGGCUCUCCAGCAGCCUGGUGCUGCACACAGGGCUGCAGGCACUGCAUGGCACUGUUCACUGCUCACUGCCAGCGCCCUUGCAGCCAUCCUGCCUGCUGCUGAUGCCUUCUGAAUAUUCACACCUGUCCCAGAGAGCCUCCCCACCAAGUGAACAGCGUGCAGAUGGCUGCCUCCACCAGCAGCUCUGCUGUCACCAGCCCAGUGUUCCCAAAGCAAAUCGAUGACCUCUGCCUGCACAUCAGUCCCAGCGUCCAGGUGCUCGCCUUCAUUAAUCACAGUGCAAUCUCCGAGGUGGGAAGGCAAGGGCUAAACUUUUCAAAGAAUAAAUGAAAAGAGGAGUGGAGUAGAGAAAGUGACAAAUACAGGUCAUGUUGUACAGAUAUUAGAGCUGUAGAUGUAAAGGGAGGGAGCAGUAAAAAUUCAGGAGGCCCUCUAUCUCCUUCAGGAUGAGAGAAAAUACUUGUUUUGUUCCUUUUUUAUCAGGGUUGUGCUCCGUAUGGGUAUUACAGCAGGUGGUUUGGGGCUCUGUGCUGCUCAUUGUGCCUGAAGGAGUCAGAAGAAUGGAUGAAAGAAAGUCCUGAGAGCCCUUUGAUGAACCUAGAGGUCAUUUCCAGCCCAGUCCGUUCUGGGAGUCUCUCAUUCUAUGAAUUGCAAUGCUUAGCUACAACUUUCAGGUAAAAGAGUUAGGCAACGUCCUGCUGUUAAACACAGCAUCCUCCCCAUCACAGCCCCUCCCAGCAGCCUUAUGGGCUUCAGAGCUCGGUACCAACACUGAUAUCUGACACAUGGCUUUUAUUUCUCCUUUCAUCAUAGUACGUACAACAGGCUGUGGAUAAAACCAUUGUG
RNAcentral lists this long non-coding RNA (6774 nucleotides) under Gallus gallus (chicken). The record is from RNAcentral. Lineage: Eukaryota; Metazoa; Chordata; Aves; Galliformes; Phasianidae.